RNAcentral lists this long non-coding RNA (2664 nucleotides) under Mus musculus (house mouse). RNAcentral's name for it is "long non-coding RNA chr14:103783547-103786211". The record is from RNAcentral. Lineage: Eukaryota; Metazoa; Chordata; Mammalia; Rodentia; Muridae.
CCAGUUUAUAUCGACACUUGUCUUGGCAUAACUCUUAAAAAUACCUAAAUAAAUAAGUAAAUAAAUAAAUAAAGGAUAUUUAUUAAAAGAGUAAACCAUUUUGUGUAUGCAUGAUACAAUUUAUAUCUGUAUAUUAUGAAAUGAUUUAUCACUAACAUUAUUUUUUGCCGAGUUUUAGGAGCACAAAAUGUUUUGGUAUUGAGUCCCAUUAUUGAGUUUAAAUAAAGGAAGCAAAACUGCACAAUAACUUUCACACACAACUUUAAUUCUGAUUGCUUUUCUAUGUAUAAUGUCCACAAACACACAAAUUAGCUACCAGUUGGAAUUUUAAAUGAGAAGAUGCAUCUUUUGGUGACAUUACUAUUCUGAAAUUACACUUCCUGAGAAACAUUUGCUUCUCUAUCUGCCAGUCAUUUACGCCAAGAAUCUUCCCUGAUGGACAAGUGAACCCCUAAUAUGAUGCGCUUUAUUCAUGGAUAUGAACAAAACCCAAGGAGCUCAAUCCUUCUCUGCUCCCCACUCAAGUGGAUUCUUCUUGUACAGACUCUCUUCUCCAUCAUUCCAUCACUUCCACAAGUACCGCCAUCUUCUUUCUCCAGAUCUCCCCAUGGACAUGAUGCACCUGGGUCCUCAGUAGCUGUGGGGUAGGACUUUAUCCCAAACUAGGUUGUACUGACUCUAUAUUCUGUAUUUUUAUCUAGGAUGCCAUGGUGGAAGGACCAGAAAGCUUAUGAGCCUGACCAUCUCUAUCGGGAGGUUUCCUUGAUGGUGUUCUUCAUUCCUGUUCUUUUUGACCCUGGAGUCUAAGUUUACUCACCAUAUUGUGAACUCCCCACUAUGCAUCCAAUAAGAAUUUUCUGGUUUUUGUUUAAUUUAGCUGGAAUCAGUUACUGCUGCUCCUAAAACCUGGCUCCGCAGACAAUCAAUUCUAUAGUACUCCCUCCUACUUCCCCCUACUUCCUCUCUGCUUCCUCCCUACUUCUUUCCCUUUUUGCUCUUUUUUCUCCUUUCUGCCUUCUCUCUUUUCUUAUUGUCUCAUACUUUUAUUGCCCGUGCUUAGAGGUUUUGAAGGAUGAAUGAAAAAUGAAAAGGCGAAUGCAAAAAAUAGAAAAAAAAAAAAGAAAAUAUUUGAAAGAUGUUUAAUCCCAACUGCUUUAUUUAUUUUUCUUUUCAACUAAAAUGGAAGGAUCCCUGGCCGUAUAUUUUAGACCAUUCCAAGUCUUAUGGGAAUGCAGUAAAAUAUGAUUAUUAGUAGCAAAACAAAACAAUACAAAAAGCAAAGCAAGUUGAUCCCCUCUCCAAAUUAUUCAGCAAACCCAACAUUUUCAUAAUGUUGGUCUUUCAAACAUGUUCAUGGCUCAUGGCUUGUCUAAACUAAUUAGACAGUUUGAUGGAUACAAUAUUUAUUUUCAAAGGAUCACGCCAGAUCUUCUUAUAAAAGUAAUUAACAAAGUUAUUUUUGGAAGUUAAUGUUUCUCUGUAGCAAGCUGGGAGAAUUUAAGUUUUAAUGUCCAGAGAUGGUGUCACUAAAGGUGCAUUUAAAUAUUUAGCCAAAAAUUAGAGGGCCUGAAGUUACAAAGUUUACUUGAAAGAGAAAUGAGUCACAUCACCAGGAGUUUAUCUCUUAGACUUGCUUGCUUGCAUGGUCACCAGAAGUCUGUUUUGUUCUUGGUUCCCUCCUUAAGACAUUCAACAGCUGUUGCUUCCCCUAAACCGUAAACUCCCUCUUCCUGUACUACCCAGGCUGCUAUAGGCACAGACAGUCCGGAAAUGUGAGACACUUUGGUAAAUAACAGAAGUUAGCAGUGAUAGGAAUAAACUGUAGAUCCUUUUAGGAACCAGAGCAGGGUCCUCUUACAUCAGCACAGCAGAUUCAGGUAAGCCUCAGCAUAAGCCACUUACGGAGCAAAGAACUCGGCCCACCUACGUCAUUUCUAUGAGCAUAAUCGUAGCAGACACGUACAGCUGACUUCUAUCUCAAUCUGCCAAACUGUUUUUUCAUCUGUCAGCAAACUAUCUCCACUUUAAUUAAGAAUGCAUUGAUUUUUGUCUUUUUUAUUGUUCAUAAAGCAUUCAGUCUAUUUGCACUUUAUUUACCUUUUAAAAUUUAUUUGUUUAUUUUUGUGAGCAUUGUUAUUUUACCUUCGUGGUAUGUCUGUGCAUCACAUGAUGCAUGUUUGGUUCCCCUGAAGGACAGAACAGGCUUCAGAGCCUCUGGAGCUGGAGUUACAGACUGUUAUGAGCUGGAAUGUGGGUCCUGGGAAUCAUACCCAGGUCCCGUGAGAGAGCAGCCAGUGCUCUUGACCACAGAGACACCUCUCUAGCUCCCUGUACCUCUUUUAAUACCUAAUAUGUUACUUGAUCCUGUUUUAAUGUUUUGGGCUUUAUAAAAAUAGAUAAAGUAUUUGUGCCAAUUAAUAAGUUUAAUAAAAAAGUUAGAUCCAAUCUUGCAUUUCAGAUAAUUCUUAUACCUCCUGAGACAUAAAAAAAUCUUCCUUUAUAUACAAAAAUAAUCAUUGGACUUUUACAAGUAUUGUGCCAGAAAUAGCAGGAAGGGUUUAUCACUUCAGUUUUAAAAUAGUAAGACGAGCUUAAAGCAAAGCAAACUGUUCUGAGAAUUUAGUGGAUUUAGAAUAGUAAAAAUUUUCCAAUAAUAAAAAAUUU